GACAGUAUGGUGUAGUGGUUAUCACGUCUGCCCCACACCCAGAAAGGCCCCCGUUUGAGCCCGGGGACUGUCA
Molecule: transfer RNA, 73 nt
Filed under: Hofstenia miamia
Lineage: Eukaryota; Metazoa; Xenacoelomorpha; Acoela; Hofsteniidae
Description: tRNA-Val for anticodon CAC
Rfam family: tRNA
About the family: Transfer RNA (tRNA) molecules are approximately 80 nucleotides in length. Their secondary structure includes four short double-helical elements and three loops (D, anti-codon, and T loops). Further hydrogen bonds mediate the characteristic L-shaped molecular structure. tRNAs have two regions of fundamental functional importance: the anti-codon, which is responsible for specific mRNA codon recognition, and the 3' end, to which the tRNAs corresponding amino acid is attached (by aminoacyl-tRNA synthetases). tRNAs cope with the degeneracy of the genetic code in two manners: having more than one tRNA (with a specific anti-codon) for a particular amino acid; and 'wobble' base-pairing, i.e. permitting non-standard base-pairing at the 3rd anti-codon position.
Source: RNAcentral